RNAcentral lists this unclassified non-coding RNA (1340 nucleotides) under Amphibalanus amphitrite. RNAcentral describes it as "ribonuclease P/MRP protein subunit POP5-like, transcript variant X4". The record is from RNAcentral. Lineage: Eukaryota; Metazoa; Arthropoda; Thecostraca; Balanomorpha; Balanidae.
GCGGCGUGUGCGGCAAGGCUGAGAUAAUACAUUUCUGAUUCAAGCAAGAACUCCUCAAAGCCAUGGUGCGAUUGAAGCAUAGAUAUUUUGUGCUGGAACUUGCCCCUCCGGGUGAGAAGGCGCACGCCCGCCUGGUUGUCAACGAGGACGCCAUCUACCGGGCCGUUCUAGAAGUUGUGGAUCAGAUUCACGGCGACUAUGGCGUUGCAACGGUGCGAUCACGGCUAAUCGUGAAGUACUGUAACGCCGUCACGCGCGUGGCGUUACUGCGCGUCUCGCACGCCGCCCACCGUCUGCUCGCCUCAGCCCUGCCAUUCAUGACGUCAUUAGAGGGACAGCCAAUCACUCCGCGUACUCUGUACAUGGGAGCCACCAUCAUGCACUGCUUUCGGUUCCUCAAGCGGCACCAGGAGAGCCAUCUAGAGGAGAUGUGGGCGUCGGCCGACCCGCACCGGCGCCACCAGAUGCGCGAGGCCAUCAUGGCCCUAAAGCUGCCGAAUAUCGCCGAGACCCGCGGCCUGCCCGGCGUGUAGGACGGCAGAGGGCGCCACCGUCUUUCAUUGGCUCAUCAGAGACGCUACUUGACCCUGACGUGAGAGUCGGCAGUAGCACGCACUGGCCGAACAAUGGGAUCGGCGCCAUGGCAACCGCCGACAUUCGCAAAUCGCAGCCACAACAGCGGCGGCCGCGCCGUGCAAACCACACUUCGCUGCGUGGUGGCAACGCCAUAAGCCAAGGUGACGACCGAUUAAUACGUGUGCACGUGAAAGACUGUAAGGUGCAAUAGAUAGACGUAUAUGGAUGGAACGUGUCAUUGUUAGCAGUUGGCAUUGAUUUUAAGGCUGCAAUAGGGUAAAGUGGUAAAACUUUGCCCGCAAUGUGUUGCUUGAAUUGCUCGAUUUUGUGCAGUUUUCUAAAAACAGGCAUCAUAAAUGGUGUCUCUGCUGGUGUAUGCCUACCAUACUUCGGACAUAGCGUCGUAUGAAUCCUAGGAACUAACUGUCUACCGGCUAGCUUGCGUAUCAGCGCCGACUGCUGUGUGUCCAAAAUGCAAAGUAGGUACUCAAUAGUUGAUGUCGUCAAUGUCAUUGAUGUCAAUGUCAUAUGUCAUUGAUCGAUGUCUAACUUACAUCCACAAUUGCGCUACCGAAAGUUGCAUGCAAUUUGAUAGGUGUAAGUAGUCUGCUAAGUGUACCUACAGAUGUAUAAUGUUCAACAUUGGUACAUAGGCGCGGGAGCCGGGGGGGCAGUGGGGGCAGCUUGCCCCCCCCCCCCAACUCUGGGGCUGUGGGGGCGGUGCCCCCACAGCUUUGAGACGGAAUACCACACUUUUUUUGCAA